GAGAGCAUCCUUUAAACCUGCCAAUCACUCAAUGCUCCCCUUGGAAUUUCUGGGUUGAUAGUGCCCAGCAGAGGUCCAGGGUGGGGAAAGGAAGGGUGAUUGACACCCCACCUGGGAAGGAAACUUCAGGGAGAAACCAAGGGAAACUGAGGCAAGCCCUGACAUCACACUGCAACAAGCAUAUAUACAUGGUACCCUUUCUUUGUUACCAGUAGCAUUUUCUCACCCAUUUACAUACACAACUAUUUAUUGGUGAUACAUUGUUCUGGACAACCUGUGUUUCAAAACUUCAAUAUUUGGUAUAAUUCUUCUGCUUCUUUGACUCUUUAUAACCUUCAGCUUCUUGUAGGUACAACCUUAAAAAAGGAAGGCCUUGUAAAACUAUGGCUGAGGCUUGGUACUUUGGCUAAGUAGAAAUGGACUAUGGGACAGUGACACAGCUGAAUUAGAGCAAAAUGUUGGUGAAAUAUGAGGAAAAGGGAGCUAAAAAUAAUUCCCAGCUUCUGGCAUGAAGAUUCAGACAUUGUAAAAUCCAUCACAUCUCCUGGAUGAAAGCACCUUAUGGAUCUGAGGGAGAAGAAUUUUUGGAGAAUAGUGUGGUAGAUGAAGAAGGUGUCUUGAUCUGUACAUUCUGUAAUCCUUUUAAUCCAUACUAGCACUGCAUAUCGAAUACAAGGUUUUAGGUUUCUUUCUUUAAAUGACUGGCAUUUCAGCACAGUAAUAUUUCUGUGUGCUAAGGAGAAUUUGCAUCUCUGCUCCUGUCAAUCAUCAUCUUAGGAGAUGACACAAGUCAUAAACAGGUGCAAGUACAGAGGAUUUUCAAAUGUAAUACAGAACACGCAAAUGUGUCGUUUAUGUACAAUUCUUUGAAGAUGUAAUGAUGACUGAAUGACAAAGAAAACUUUAUGCAAGAUCAAGUGUUACUUUUUCUCUGAUCCGCUCUGAAAUCCCUGAAAUACAGCACUUCUAAAACGAAUGGGUGAUUCUAUUCAACUUGCUAUGAUACUGUUGUGGUUUGACCAGGAAGUGAGUUUCUGGGAAAGUUGUGGUCAAACCAAUCAGUGGCCAGAUUUUAAAAUUAGCACCUGGUGUGGCCACUGGGGACCUGGAUAUGCCUCUGAGAACACACAGGGGUUAAAAGCAGAGGAUUCCUGGAAGUACUUUCUGUUUUGAGUCCGGCGGUGAGUCGAUGCAACCUCCUCCCCUGCCCAGGGGUGGAGGAGACGUGGGAUGUUUCAGGCAGCGCCCAACCCCGAGAGAGAGUGAUAGAGAGUCUGCAGUGGCUUGAAAUCUUUCCGGCACCACAGGUGAGGAGAAGGGGGUGGGGGGCAGGCAAGGUGCCCAGCCACCGGCAGACCACUGCUGAGGUUUUAACUCCUUUUGUGCUGAGACAAUGGAAGCUGUAAGAAACACUAAUCCUCCCCAGCUGAGAAUUGAGAGGGGACAGAGGAUGGGGCAAAUGAGAAGAAGGCUUGAGUAGGUGAAGAAAUGUCAGCAGAUGAGAAGUGCCCUAGAUGGAGGAGAUGAUUGGAGCGGCCUUCUGGCUGACUUUUCUCUUACAUGGCCACGGGACGGAAACUAUUUUUUCCUGUAAUGUAGAGACUGCACCUUGGAGGAGGCGGUUGGCCAGAAGCCAGGAGUGACAAAGCUGUUAUGAGAAGUAGAGGGAACAGAGACUGAUGAGGAGGGUGUGGUGGAGCCUUCUGCCUUCAGCGGAUAAGGAUCUCAGUUCCAGAGACCCCCAGGCCCCAGGCGAGUGAAUAUGGGGGUGUCCAAAAUGGUGAGAGGCUGCCACUUCUUGGAACUGAGCAAUGCAUUCUUAAAAGGACCUAAGAAGCAGUUGGGAUCCAUGGACAAUGGUGAGAACACUGGAAGGAAGAUGGUCACCAUGGCAAAUUCUCUCCAGGUGGCUGCCACGUGUGACAUGGAAGCAUAGGAGGUUCCAACUGUGUUUCCUGGGGAGUCCCAUGGUGCAAGAGGGAGACUCCUCUCUCCUGAUGAACUGGGAAGAGGUUGUGUGAAGGAUGGUAUUGGACUGAGAAUUGAGUGUUAGAGGGGUGGGGGGAGGAGGAGUGUUUUGGAGGUUUUCUAUUGUGGAUUGUUGUGUGUGGUCUUUUUUUCUUUUUUUUCCCCUUUUGUCUUUAUGUUUAGAUCUAUGAAGUGUUGGUUUUUUUUCCCUCCAUUCCAAAGUUGGAGUCUGCUUUGUUCUGUUUCUGGGUCACAUCUCACAGUAACCAUUUUGGAAAUAUACCUUUCAUGGGGGCACCGGCACUGUGUCAGGGUCAAUCCAUGACAGGUACAUAUUUAGUUGUCAUGCUGAGCUUUCUUAACUGAAACAAUUUUAUCUCGUAUUCAUCAUUUGGAAGUGAACUGCUGCUAUGUAGCCAUGAUAUUUUAGUGAAAAAGCCUCUGCUGGGAUUUUUCCUGUCCUGAGGAGCUGAGAGCCUCAGGAAAGAAAUGUAAACAAUAACUAUCUGCUGCUGUGGAAUGCCACAGGUGCAUCUUCCAUUGGUCCAUGUGGAUUGUUUUCAAUUAGUGACCAAUCACAGCCACCUGUGCCAAGGCUGUGAGCAGUCACAGGAUUUUUGUUAUUGAUUCCUAUUCUAUUCUUGUCUUUGUAGCCUUCUGAUCUUCUUCUCUCUGUUCUUUUUAGUAUAGUUGUAAUGUAGUACUUUAGUAUAAUAUAUAACAUAAUAAAUCAGCCUUCUGAUGAAAAUGGAGUCAAGCCUCGUGUCCUCACACAAGGGGUUCUUGCCAAAGCAAGACUGCUAUCAGACUUUCUCAGUUGGAAACUAAACAGUAGUGCAAACUCAAUUACACCUUCAACUUUUUUCUUCGAAUAUAGACCCAUGGGAAAAGGAGAGAUGGAAAAAUAGCUCAUUUUUAAAAUGGCAACUGGAUCUCUAAACUUCUAUUUUAUGCCAUACUCUUGUUGCACUGAAUCACUCAUCUAAUGAACAAAGGCAACUGUGAAAGCACUAGUAUCACUGUUGAAUCAGUCUCAGGAAUAAACUGGGAACCUCUGUAGGGGAGUAAAUCUGACUCUCUUAAGACAGGACCCUGCAUUGCCAACGGCACACAGCUGCAGAGGCCACACUCCCCAUGGUCCUGCUGGGUGUCUGUCAGGGUAUCCAAGUUGACAUCUGCCCACUGUGGGAUAUGGGCUCUUGCUCUGUUGAGCAGCUUCACCACCCCUUUGAUAGUAUCCUGGGUGAAAAGAUGAUGCUCACAUCACGAGCUGCCAGUGCUCCUUACCCACAGGGUGGAAAAGCUGGGUACAUUCUGACAGCAGCUUGCAGGGUGGUGCUGUCAAGGCUUACAGGACCUGCAGAGGAAUAGGCUCAUUCCUGUGCUUGUCAGUGGCAGGCCUGGGUGUGCUGCUGCCACAAGGCUUUGUGCUCGUCCCUGUGGGUGGAGACAUGUGUCAAUAACAGACCCUGGUGCAGGUGAUGGCUGGCUGUAGUCCAUUCCACACCGAUCAUCACACUUGGACGUCGGUGGGAAUUUUUCAUCAACACCAUGAGAUCAUGUUAUAACGUGUUGCAUGACAGCAGUUUGGGCCAACAUUUUAUAGAUUUGGCCGAGGUGGAUGGGCCAUCUUCACUUACCCCAUAGGAGGUCAAUUAUUCCCGAGAAAUAUGCAGGUGCUCUAGUAGUGCACCUGCAUUAGUGAUUUGAUUGCCAAAGAACUGCUUUCUGUUGUUAAUUUGCCUUGCAUCUUUUCCUGGAGUCUUCUGUUAUGCCUUUGACCGGAUCACUUUGCCACUUUAUGUGGUUUCACUCCUGCUGGAGGAGGAAAAAGGAAAGCAAGGAAAACCUGGAAACCAAGAUUGACAUUUUGCUUCAUGGCACAUUUGUAGCUGCCCACAUUCAGGCUGAACAGAGAGCCCUCCAGCAGUAUGCUGGAGCUGUGCUGCUGUGUGCUGCAGUGUGCUGCUGAGGCCAGUGGGGUAUCUGCCCAGGGACAGUAAUUUAUGCACCACUAGGGUGCUAAGACCAGCAAUUUAGCACCAUACACCAAUAUAUGCUGGGUGACACCCAGCUUGAAAUCAGCUUGGUAGUAUCAGGGUCCUCAUGAACCCCAACUAAUGCCAGAGCCAAUUGUGCUCUUACAGCAAAAAAGGCUAAUGGUAUCCUGGGAUAAUGGUAUCCCGGGCAAAUGGCAUCCUUCUGUCCCCUCAGCAGGCUCAGGAACCCAGUCCUUCCUCUUCUUCAGCCCUGGUGAGGCCACACAUGGAGUGUGUUCUGGAUCCCCAGUACAAGAGAGGCAUGGGCAUGGUGGAGAGAGUCCAGUGAAGAGUCACAAAGGUGAUGAAGGGAUUGGAGCAUCUUUCCAAUGAGCAAAGGCUGAAAGAGCUGGGACCAUUCACCUUGGAGAAGUGAAAGUUUGGUGCUGGUGGGAUGGAUCUUACCAGUAUGUAUAAAACAGAAAUAAAAAGAGGGAACCAUGCUCUCUUCAGCGAUUCCCAGUGACAGGACAAGAGAUGAGCUGCACAAACCGAAAAAGAAAUGAUUCAUUGCAUCCAAAGCAUAGUCCCAUACAAGCUACUAGAAAAUUAUCUUGGCCAACACAGGCAUACCCUUGGAGUAUGUGGAGUUUCCCUUUUUUGUGAUAUUUAAAAGUCAUCUGGACAUAUUCCUGGGCCACCAGGUCCAGGUGGUCCUUCUUGAGCAAAGGGGUUGCACCAGAUGGCCUCCAGAGGUCCCUUUCAAGCUCAGCCAUUCUGUGAUUUCACUAUUAGCCAAGACACACUGUGAAGGUAUAUCCUCUUCUCAUUGCACCACACUGCUUUACAAUGUAGCUACACCCUUAGAAAACUUGAGCCUCAUUGUUUUGCUAGAGUCUGCUCAAUGUUAAUACAAGUGUUCCUUCUGAUUGUGCACUAACUACAGCGAACAGUAAUUAUUGACUGAAUACAGGAGGUGGAUAAAUGCAAUAAACUUGUAUAGACUGUAUGACAGGAAAAUGCUGUCACAAUUUCUGGCAGAAUAUGUUUAAUGCCAUUGGAGAAUAAGAAUCUAAGUCUCUGAGUCACCAUAAUAACAUGUGUGUCUCAUUUUUAUGGGUUGGAUUAUCUGUCUACAAGUAAAUCCAGUUGUGAGGGAUUAAUAUAAUAUUAAAUAGAGGUAAAUUUUUAGCUCUUCUGCAGAAAUGAGAAGUCUGGUCUCCCUACUAAGGAGAAUUUUAUGAAUAAAGAUUUAAGAAAUGUGGGUAUUUCAGGUCCAUGGUUCAUAAUAUAGGUUAGAAUAUUGUAAAGCCCAAGAGAGAACUUUUGGAACACUGUCUUCCGUGUUGCCUGCAUAGUUGUCCAUUUACAGAAACUUUGUGAAAGUUUCUGAAAAAGAAAAAUAUUGAAGAAAAAUAGUACAAAUAAUCCUAACUAAGGAAAAAAGUUUAAUAUAACCUCAGCUUAAAUGUUUGCUGUACAAGGACAAAGGUAAUACCAUUAUGCAACUUUUAUGAGAUGCUAGUCCCAUUCCCUGGUUGGACAGACUAUUUUGCCUCUGGCAUAGCUUACUGUGUUAUGACCUCAUAAAACAUGACAACAUUGCAUAUUCUUAUGCAAUACCUAGAGCUCUGCCAUGCAUAACAAUUGUCUAUAGAUGCCACUUUCAAGGCCUGAAUAUUAUGCUAAAUUGAAUAGAUUUCAGGAAAUUACAAUGUUCCAAGUGUCUGGGUUGAGGCUGUAAAAUGUGAAAUUUACUUUUUAAAAGCUCUAAAAUUGUUCCUUUUUAGGAAUGUUGAUAUUAUGAGAGAGAAGAAAGUGGUGGGGAGGGCUCUGACAACAGCUUUUUUUCCCCUCUUCAAUCACGCUGCUGCUCUGGGUACAGAGGAAUUUCAAAUGAAUGUAUAUAUCCAUAAAUUUUCUCUCAUUUUCUGCAUUGGCAUUUUGCAUGAAAUGGGUGUUCUACAUCUUUGAGACUGCUUCCACAAGAACUUAAACUGAUGAUCAGCACAUCUGACCAGAGACUGUGCAGGUAAAAAAUCAGCCUGUCAUCGUAUUUCUGUACAAAAUCAUCAAACACUGGCAAAGACAGUGAAGAUACUUUUCUGAUAAUUGCACCAGAUGAGCCGAAUUUGAGGAUCUUGGAAGACUUUGCAGCCUGACAGAGAUUUGUAACAGAGCAUAUAUAUAUUUUCUUGUACCUUGCCGAUUUGAAUCUUGGUGAAAACCUAUGGGAGUAAUUACUCUAUUCAUACAUUUUGUGGCUUGGGCCAGUACUUGUUUUUUGAGUAGAAAAAUUGUCAAUUUUUUUAAGUUGCAGAGUUAAGUUAAACCAAUUGCUGUUGUAAAUAACUUCAUGUUGUAAUCACCUGUUGUCAAUAGUUUUUCUUCAGUUACCUGUUAAUAGUUCGAAAUCAGCUCAAGUGUCCCCCUGCUGCUUCCCAGAUGACGACACCUGAAGGCUGCAGGUAGUGGGGGGGGGGAAGUGACAUCAGAGCUGGUAUGCAAAUGAGGAAGCCCCUCACCAAAUCUUGCCAAAAAAGCCCUAAAAACAACGAGCCAUCAUGAAAUUAAGCGAUCUAAGUGAUGUCCAAACGUGAGGAACUUAAUCCCGUGUCUGCAAAGAUCCUUUUUACCUCUCACCAUAACUUAAGGAGGUUGACUAGAAAGAGGAUCUCGAAUGUCAGACUGAAAAAGCAGAAUCUCCUAAUCUCCCGUGAGGACGGAAGCCCCAGCUCUGCCUACAGACCAGCGGACACAGCUGCAUCAUCCUCCUCCAUGCUACUCCUGGGAGCAGCGGCAGUGUGGAUGUGACCCGUUGGUUUCUCCCCACCUGAGCUGAUUUUGUAAUAAAGGCAUUAAAAAGGAGAAAGAUCUCCUGCCCUAUUCAUUUCACUUGGGCCAGUAUUCUAUGUACAGAGUAUUGAAAUGACUCUUUAAGAUUUAUGUUUUGAUUUUUUUUACACAUCAGAAAAGAAAAAAUCUUAAUGUUUAAUUUAUGUAUGUCUUUCAUUUACAGCCUAUAUAACUGUCCCAUAAACCAAGCAGCUGUGAACAACUAAGGAAUUUAUUGUUUAAGUGAAUUUAUAGUAGUGUAGGAUUACCAUGCUUAUCUCAUACAUAUUUUGCCUGCUUAAAAGCUAUUCUGAAUUGUGAAACAGUAAGCAGCUUUCAAUUCUUUUCUUCCCAUUGAGGGUGGACCACAUCAGUAAUGAUAUCUGUUAUGUUAAUUUGUGUAACGAUUCCUUCAAUCUUGCCUGAUCCAGCUUUCAAGACGGAUUCUACUUCUCCCAUAAAAUAAUAGGAAUGGAAGGGUUUUUUUUAUGUUUCUCCCUUCCAAAUGAAUUUUUAAUUUUUUUCAGUGUCUUCCAUAAGUACUGAAGUUGAACUUAAUGGGCAGGAGUCUGUUAAUCAGUGUUGCUCUGCUGGCUUUCAAACAGAGGUCAAGACAUUGUGAGUAUAAUACUCAUUAUGAAGAGUGCUGAAUUUUUAAUGAAUGUUGGACCUUUAGUGGUAAUCUCCUUCAAUGGCCACAGCUGUCAAUGGCUAGAUUUGAUUAUGAUUCCUCUAUAAGGCAACUUUUUAUUUUUAAAGAAUGUGAAACAAUAAAAACUUAUAUCAAAGGGGUUUUGUUUUGCAUUAAAAAGCGUCCGCCUAGGGAAGACCCCACCCUUUAUUUAUUUAUGGUCAUUUACACCGAGGGGGAACCCUGGAGGAACCUUGACAAGAUCUCCUCUCAGACUGAGAAAUCCUGUGUAGAAGUGUAACAUUUUUUGAAAACUUAUGGGAAAUAGCACAUGUUAAAUAUAAGAUCCUGAGAUACAAUUAAUCACCAUGGUACAGGAAGAUAUAUUUGUUUUUUAACUAUGCUAUGAGUUAAGCUGCUCUUGUAAUGCAGAUUAAAAGAAUCAAGAAUAAAGCCUGCAGAGGAAAAAAUUGUUUACAAAGCUGUCAACUGAACCCUGGGUUUCUUUGGUAGGACAGGUAUAUAAACAAAUAUGUAACUCUUUUGUAUAAGGAGUCAUCAGGAUCUGAGAUUUAUGGGUUAUAGUAAUUUUGGAUAAGGUGUAUACUUAGUGACGGAAUAUCUUCUCACUGGUCAAGUUGUAUUAGAGAGAAUGACUGUGCUAACUGGAGAAAACAACCUCAUUUGUAGUUGAGAUCUCUUGACAGUCAGCUGUGAAUUGACAGUGACAUCAAGUCCAAGUUCUUGUUAUCGCCUACUAAAGUGUUCCCUUUAAGCAUACAGCAGGCCACAUUUCUUUGUUAACUUCUGUUCUCAGACAUAAACUCACUCAGAAAAGGUUACCAAGAAAUAAAAUAGUGCUUGGAGUGUUUAUACAUGCUAAUGUGGGUUUGAGCUGGGGAUAUAUGUGGCAAGAUCAAUCCUGCAAUUCUUCUGUAUACUGAACUUCAAUAAAUGGCAUGCUGUGUGCUUUGGGGAGUAGAGGGCAAUAAUUUCAAGAUAAAUCACUUCUGAAUAACAGGGAAAUGAAUGUGUGCAAUGAUGUUUUGUGUUGGUUCUGGCUAAUUCUGGGGUCUUCUGUGGAUGAAGGUCAUUAAAUCUAUCAAAUCAAAGCAAAAGAAUGGUACACUGAUGUCUUAGUCUGGUUCACAUCAGAAUAACUAUACAAUAACUAUACUCUGGUUACACAGUAAAUUCAAUAUACAAAAUUAGUCUAAUUCUGGCUUGUCUUAUCCUUGGACAACCACACAGUCAACUUCGAAAUUCCAGACCUGAGUUCUCACGUGAAAAGAUUUUUACACUAGGAAUUUUAUCUGAGAUGACUCUGUUAAAAUAUGGAUACCUUGUGCUUUUUAAAGCAUUCUCACAUCUACUUCUCUCAUGAGUAGUUCUAAUGCAGUUGCAUAGCUCUAAUCUUACAUUUUAGUCCAGAAAAGGUGAAAUGGUACAGGAUGUCUGCAAAAGUUAGAAUUUUCCCCACUCCCUGAAGACACCAAAAUCUACUCUGGAGUUGGGCAGCCUGGAGAGGACAGCAGAAGAGGAUAAGCUAAGGCACGCACCAUGUCUGGCACCAUGUUCCCACAAUUUUGAACUAUCAGUGACAGGGAAGCAUUCCUUUGGCUGUAGUCUCAGAUAUCUUUGUUUGAUUUUUUUUUUCCUUUCAGUAACGGGGACCACAGGAAUAAAAAUCUCUGUUCAGUACAACUUAGAACUCUUUAUCCUACUUUUUAUUUGGUUAUGUGCAUUGGAAACAAAAGUGUUAAAACUUUUUUCAAACUGUCUUUGAAAACAAUUUUCCAAUGAUCAGUGUAGAAGAGCACACAGCUACACUAUUUUUUUCUGAAAAAGAUUGGUUCAAUUUUUCAUGACUCAUUUUUCUGAUUAAUUUAACACUCUUCAAAUCUCUACUUUAUUGCCCAUUCUUUAUAAAAGCAAAAUAAUGAUUCUUAGCUAAUUUGAUGAUCACACAAGAGUUUAUCUUUGAGGCAUUUUUCCCUCUUUAGAAAUUACAACCAAUUUUUUCUUUUUUUGUGAAAUGGUUAGCAUUAAUAUACCUUAACAGCAGGUACAAUGAGAAAAUAGCUGAAAUACUUGACUCUUGCUUUUCAUGUGUAAAUUCCCAGUGUGGCUUCUGGUUCUUGGCAAACAUAAAAGAUUUAUAGGAAAUAUCCUUCUCAUGACUGAACAAUGUGUUCCUGAGUUUUGAAGAGGCAUAAAGAUUACUUUUUUUUUCUAUGUGUGACUUCUAAACUGAUAAUCCAAGCCUGAUUAUACAGAGUUGUCUCCGCAUACUGAUUUAUUAAAAUGAGCACUAAAUUAAGUUUCUUUGCCUGACAGAUUGCUCUUUCUGGUUUACUAAGAAAUGUGACACUUUCGUCAGUAUUAUAGUAAGCAUAAUAAACUUUCCCAUGCAAAAUAUAAACAGUAUAACUUUAGAUGGAAAAAGCAGACAGCUUAUGAAGACAAAAUGAGGAAAUAUGCACUGUAGUUGCAUAAUAUUUUCUUGACUAGUAGAUCCAUCCCAAGUUCUAGCAGUAUUCAGACCUGUGAGAAAGGAAAUUCUAGGAUUUAGAGUUUUACGAAGGGCAUGCUGUACAUCUAUAAACAUGUAUUUAUAGACCUGUAGUGUAGUUUCCAGCCUAAAGAUGUCUCAGAAUUGUUGUGCUGAUACAGAACACUUGGGAAAACUUCACCUGUGUUCAUCCUGGGCCUUGAAUGGCAAGUCCUGUGGAGACAUGCCACCUCAGAAUGAAGCGAGCAGGACAAGGGACUCAUUUCAAAAAUGACCUCAUAGACAGCUGGGCCUGAGAGCACAGUAUUGAGUGGGUGUAUCAUAUUCUGCACCAGCCUCUGGGACAACUGAACAUUACAGUGCACAGUGAAAAACCAGACUGAAAGCAAUGAGUGGUGGGACCUUCAAACAUUGGGAUAUAGUGAAGGCCACUGGGUUAGUUAACACUAGAACUCUAUCAAUUGAGCUGGCCCUGCCCAAUCAAAUCCUCCAUGUACUGUGCAGGGGGAUAAAGUCCCCAUGAGGAAACUCUCAGCAGCCCCUCCCCCACAAAAAAAAUCACUUUGUUGGUGGGUCCAAUGCAAAACCAGCACAGGUAGUAAAAAAGCACCACACCUAUGUCUAUUAAUCAGCUAGGAUAGACGAACUUGCUUGGAUUACUUACAGUGAAUUGAUCUGAUGGAAACAAAACAGCCAGAACUGAAAUGGAAGAACUUUUAAACUAUCUUCUACCAAGAAGAUUUUCUUGGAUGAUCUACAAAUGUAAAACCUUUCCUGCUCACCAGCCUUGCACAGACCUCCCAAAAAAACUAAUCUAUUUUAUCCACCCCAGAGAUGGAAGAUGGUUCCAGGAGGACCAAGCUGAGCACUUGCUCAAGUCUCAGUAUACUAAAUUCAGCAUCUUUUGCAUGGGAUCAUUGAAAUAUGAAAGAGACUAUACUGGAACUAGGACUUCAGAAUUUCUAUUUGAUAAAAAUCAAAAUAGAACAAUAUAUAUUUUGAACAGUUUUUAAUCUCUAGUGGUGUUUUGCCAUCUUAAUUCUUAACGAUUCUAUUGAUGUCAGUAAUUUUAUGUUUUCAGAAUUAAGUUUGUUAUUAGGAUAUUUGUUUGCAUCUAUUUAUUGUUUAAUUACAGUUUUAUUAUCUUUCAUUGAGUGUUUUGUCUCU
This is a long non-coding RNA of Passer domesticus (house sparrow), 11092 nucleotides long. RefSeq lists it as uncharacterized. The record is from RefSeq and is a predicted model, not a curated record. The transcript is spliced from 8 exons. NCBI's taxonomy places the organism in Eukaryota, Metazoa, Chordata, Aves, Passeriformes, Passeridae.